Molecule: long non-coding RNA, 3133 nt
Organism: Neocloeon triangulifer
Lineage: Eukaryota; Metazoa; Arthropoda; Insecta; Ephemeroptera; Baetidae
Exons: 3
Source: RefSeq, a predicted model, not a curated record
UGCGGCUGCGGGACACUUUAUCGGCCCGUGAAAUCAAACACUCCGCCUAAUUCUGCUGCGGAUCUGAUUUCAGAAAUUUUUUUUCCUCAAAAUAACAAAGGGUUGCAGUGACAAUGUUCGCAAUUAAAGGGGAGAAAAUAAUGCUCCUCCUUCCCCGUUUCCCUUUCUCGAAAAACCAAACCAAGUUUGUUUUGGUUUUUCCCUCUUCCAAAUACAGCCCGCGGCAAUUUUUUCAUAUUUGCUCUGCGGCAUAAAGGGUGAAAAUUUAAUUCGGUCGGCUGCUCCUCCCCCUGCCGCUUUUUCACUCUUGCCGUUUUCGAUUCACUGACCCGAGCCUUUGAAUUCAAUUUUAUUUUUGCGUUCGUCACAGCCGUUUUUUAUCCAUUCUCAUUAAAAAAGUCUCGUCACCUCGCCAAUUUCGCACGCGACAUCAGUCAAUACACUUCCCUCCGUCGCCAUGUAUAAUUUAAACUUGUCAAGUGCGUUUUUUUACCGGCGAAAGCAGCAGGGGCUGAUGAGAAAGAAAAAGAAUGAAAAAUGCUUUUCCUCUUUGCGUUGUAAAUUCAAAAAGAGCAAAAGCUCGCAUGAGAGAGGAGGAGCAGAAAAAACGGAAAAAUGAACCCCAGUGCAAACUUUUUCCUGCGAUGCUCUUAUUAUUAAUCUUCAUCCGCGCCGGAACGGAGGGCAAAAACAAAACACGCCCCGCAGGAGAGAUUUUAUAAAUAUGAACACGUGCUGCACACACACGAGAGAUGCAUAAUAUUGAUUGCACCCUGCCGUGAUUCAUCAUCUCUCUCCUUUGUUUUAUCAGGGAAAUGAGAAGCAAUUUUUCUUGAUUCCCGGCACUUCUUCUCGCCUCCGGAUGAUGAGAAAAAGAAAAUUACAAAGACUCUGAAAUGAUGAAAAAGUGAGAAGAAAAUAGCUUUUGCAGGAAAUUGUGACCUGAUUAGGCUAGGAAAGCAUAGUAUAUUAUUUUUUUACCUGUUGGCCAGAAAAUAGAUGUCUAGUUUAAGCUUAAAUAUACAGUAUAUAGCAUAAUAUAUUUGUGAUUUUUUUUUUUAAUAAAUUUUUAAGUGUGCUACUGGUUUUAUUUAGACUGAAUUAAAAGUUUCUUUUGGUAUUCAAUAUAAAAAGCGCAUUUUUCUUAUUUCAAUUUUAAAAAGUACAUCAGAUAUAAUGGAAUCUGUGAAUUUGCAUUGAAUUAGUCUCAGAUUAACUCUUUUUAUUGACAAUUUUAGGCCUCUUAAAACAAAUUCAAGUGCAAAUCAUUAUCAACAUCUUCCACCCAAGCUUUAUAUAUUAAAUACAAAUUUUAUUUCAAACUAGAAUAUUGUUCUGUAAAUAAAAACAAAAAUUAUAAUUAAAACCUUUUUCAUUUAUUAAAAAAAACACUGCUCUUUAAAGAGGUUCGCCGAGUAGUGCAUUUUAAAUUUGCGGCGGGUUUUAACAGGCAUUAAAAUAAAAUGUAUGUAUGUCCCGGCGAAAAAUUAUUGCCCGGCGCGCGAGGAGAGAAUUUUUUUGUAAAUGGCUCAUCGCGCCAAAACUCAGUGAACCUUUUGGGGCAACUCCCACUUCGGCCACGUUCAGCCAAUCAGGAAGAGCCGAGCAAGUGGUAGUGCUUGGCAGGCCGCUGGCAGCGCUGCGGGCGCUGCGGCGACCCUGGCCGGCCGGUCAAAUAACAAUAUGGCGACGCGUUUAUCUGAAAUCGAGUUUUCGACGACAAUUUCGGCUGUGUCGGCGGCUAAGCAGACCGUUCGGCCAAUAUGAAGACGUCUGACGUCGGCCAGAAAUUCUUUCCGCGAGUCGUGCUCUCCGCAACGCGUAUUAAUCUUAGCAGGUAACCGAAAAAUGGCCAGAGCGAGAGACUCUCCGAAGUCUCCGACACUGACGGACUGCUCGUAACGAGCUCGGGAAAUUUCUUCCCUUCCUUGGGACAAGAUCAAUCUGGGACGCAACCUUAUUUUUGACGCAGUUUGCAGUGAGCUGCUUUUGAUUUGCAUAGGAGUUCUCCAGUGCAGCGCUUGGAAAUGGACCGACAGACACAACCUUGAAAAAUCAGCCUGAUGUUGAAAUCUGCGACACCACCUCAGCCUCCUUGACCAGCUGAUGUGCAAAGAGAGGAGAACACCAUCAGCUGUCAAUGUGCACAUCAAGAUUAGAACUAUAAUUUGGGGGCUUUUGUUUCUGUAGGAUCAUGCAUAGCACACAGGGUUAUUGUGUACAAAUCGUAAUUGUAAAUAAUUUUAUUGCAUACGAGCCUUGAUGUAAUAUUGUUUUUUUGUAUGAGUUUCUUUUCUAGUUGGAGUUCAUGCAUCUCCAAGAGAAUCUUGUGUAUUUUGAAUUUACUUGUUAUUUAUAAAAAUGAUAUUGAAAUCUCACCUGCAUUGUUUAUUACACUAAAAAUAUAAUUUUUAUUUACGUUUAUUGUGCUCAAGUCAUAAAAAAAAAGAAAAAGAAAAUAAGCAGAAACAUCUUUCGGAGGUCUACUGAAAUGACAUAAUCUAAAGUCAUGUGUGUUUUGGCGACACAUAAUAUAUAAAAUUUUUGAAAAUAAGAACAAAUUUUUCCAUAAAAUGGGGAAUUUAUAUUCAGUAUAAUAUACAGUCACAUUAUGUAAAUAAAUUAAUGUUAUUAUAAACAAUAUUUAUUCAUCAAGGCUCGUAUGCAAUAAAAUUAUUUACAAUUACGAUUUGUACACAAUAACCCUGUGUGCUAUGCAUGAUCCUACAGAAACAAAAGCCCCCAAAUUAUAGUUCUAAUCUUGAUGUGCACAUUGACAGCUGAUGGUGUUCUCCUCUCUUUGCACAUCAGCUGGUCAAGGAGGCUGAGGUGGUGUCGCAGAUUUCAACAUCAGGCUGAUUUUUCAAGGUUGUGUCUGUCGGUCCAUUUCCAAGCGCUGCACUGGAGAACUGCAAAUGGCAAUGAAGUUUUAGAUAAAGGAAAAAAUAUCUAAUAUUAUAAAUACAUAACUUCAUAAUGCUUGAUUUUCAAAAAUAAAAAGAAGACAAAUUUUUGAAUAAUAUUUUUCGCCCAAUUUUUCAAUAAUCCUAAGUUAGCUCACCUCCUAUGCAAAUCAAAAGCAGCUCACUGCAAACUGCGUCAAAAAUAAGGUUGCGUCCCAGAUUGAUCUUGU